This is a long non-coding RNA of Peromyscus eremicus (cactus mouse), 767 nucleotides long. RefSeq lists it as uncharacterized. The record is from RefSeq and is a predicted model, not a curated record. Lineage: Eukaryota; Metazoa; Chordata; Mammalia; Rodentia; Cricetidae. The transcript has 3 exons.
GACUCAUUCCACAAAGUUGAGUAAGCUGAUGGUGAAAAAUAUUUAGAUGUUGCAAAUGAAGCAAGCGGCAAGUUAGAUAAUACAGCUGAGCCAUGGGUGUCUAGUAUGAGAAGCAAGAAGAGACAGGCAAGAAGCAACUGACAUAGGAAAUAUGUGCCAAUUAUGUUACAAAGAAAGAAAAAAGUCAAGUGAUUAAAAUAAAUGCUUUGGUGGUUGUAAUCAUAGAAAUUAUUUGAGCCAGUUGAUAUGUCUGCUACAAACAAGUGACAAGGGGGACCACCCUUCAAAAUGGAGAAAGGAACUUUUCACGUAAACCUUGAGAAAAGAUCAUUAGCUCAUCCUUGAAGCAUGAGAGAAGGCUUGCAUGUCUGGCAUGAACUGUAUGUGUUUAGUACAGUAAGGAAAUCAGGUUAGGUCAGCUAUCUCAAUGACAAUAGAGGGGAGGGGUGUAGGUUUAGUGCUGGUUAGAAUAAGUAGUAACUAGAACUUGACUCAGAGAUGACAUCAUAGAACUUGCUUUGUUAGAUUAUGCUUUCCGCUACACAAAGAAGAGAAGGAGACAGAGUUCAAGGGUCAUUGAAGUCUCUGGGGAGAAGGUUGUGUUGGUUUGAAAAGAAUGAUAAUGGCAACAGAAAGUGAUUGGCAGAAUUCCUUCAAUAGCUUCAGAGAAGGAAAUAAUCUUGGGUGUGGCUACAGAGAACCCCAGACUUAGAGGGCUUGGGUUUAGCAAGAGGAAUAUCAAAGAAGGCAUUUUGAGAAGAUGGCAC